GUAUUGAAAGUGGUUCCUCUUACAUUGUUCCAGGCAGUUUAUCCUGUUUUAGGGUCCCGAUUCUCAUUUCCAGGUGAGUUUAAGUCUCCGGUGAGGAAGAUCAAAGGCCACCUUCCAUGUUUGAGUCCGAGACUAAAAACAACGAUGAUGAUGAUGAUGAUGACGGUUUCCCCACAGAGUCCCCCCCCCCCCUUCUCUCUCUCUCUCUCUCUCUCACACACACACACACACACACACACACACACACACACACACACACACACACACACACACUCUCACACCCGCACACUCACACGCACACCCACACAUGCUCCCGCUGGAUCUCUGACGUAGUUGCCGACGCAGCGUAAAAGAGAACACGCCCGGUUCUGUCCGCUGUGAUGCGUUCAGGAACACCAACGGAAAUUCAAACACUUGAGAAGACACGUAGGAUCUAUGACCAUCUAUUCAUUUUAAAACUUCCAUUUCAAAGCUUACCUAUUUGUUUCUUUUAUCACUUAUUUCAUUGCUUGUAGUAAUGUUUAGGUAUUAUUUUGUUUGUGCAUUUAUUCAUCACAUAGGGAGAACUGUCUUGUGGAAACAGACAUUUCUUUCUCUACAGUUUUGGAUCAAGUUUAUCCACCAUUCCCACAUCUAUCACAAGUUCAGGCUUAUCCCAGAAUGAAUGUCGCAUGUUUCGUCAUACCUCUAGAACAUCCUCCCUCCCUCCCCAAAAUGUUGAUGCCCACAGAUUCCCCAAUUGGUCUCUGGAUCUCUAUACUAUGAUUCUCAAGCAGCAUAUGUUUUAAACAAAUACGCGAGUAUGCAGCAGUUCACAUUGUGCUGCUAAUCAAUUGGUUAAUAUCGUCCCUUUAUCGAUCAAUAAUACCUUCAUUUCUAUUGGGGUCUAUAUCAUUCUCAUGGCGUAAGAAGGAACAAGUAAAGGCCAUUUUAACAGACAGGAUUUUACAUUGUGUAUUGUUAAAUAAUAUAUGUUCCUAACAGACAUAUCAGUUGUGCAAAAAUGAAAAGUACAAUUUACUUGCCUUCAUGACAACCAACACGAUACUAAAUGGUUGACUAAAGUUCUCCAACAAACGUCUUAAUCUGGAUACCACAGACCUCUGCGAACCACACAUCAGCCUCCCAGUUGUUCCACAUCACGACAGUCAAACAUGUACUGUACCUAUAUGAAACAGUAGUCAGGAGUCAACCGGUUAAAGAGAAAUGGGGCAAACACAGGGGCAAGAGCUCAUGCAGGUUUGAUGUGAAUUAUUGCACAAAAAUGAAAUUCCAACAUUUUUAAAAAGAUUUGUGUGUGUGUGUGUGUACAUGUGUGUUUGUGCGUGUGUGUUUGUGUGUGUGCGACCGUCUGAAGUCACCCAUGCGUCAUUGAUUGCAUGCGUGGUUAAGUUUGCGCAUGUAAAGAGAAGAAGAAUCUUUUGCAAAUGGAUUUUCCUCGAGUAUCACUCCACUUUCAUAGCCCCCUGAUCGCUAUGGAGAUGGAUUUUAUUCAAUAUUAGGAGCAGCCUGGUAUUGCUCUGUCACUGAAUGCUGCAGUGAGUGGGAUUUGUGUUUUCUCGUUUCACUCACAUCCAAAAUAGAGGAGUAACACGCACAAGAUUAUUUCGAGUCAUAUUCAAACUUAUCGCCAAUCCUCAUAAAGUGAGGACAAAAACACAUGCUGUCAAGGAUAAUUAUUUAAGACAUUUAGGGGUUCUAAGAAAAUAAAUACCCGUCAUUCCUGCUUCUGGGGAUCUUUGCCAUUACUUCGCACCAAAAAUAUUAAAGUGAUACAUAACCGUGGGAUUCACUGCCCUCUCCACAUGUUUCUAAACAAAAGGAUCACGGCAUCAGAUUUCAUUUUCUACCAAUUAAUCGUUUAAAUAAAUGGGUAUCUUCAGGGGAAACCCAUCCCUCACACGGCAGCAGCCUGACCCAAAGAACAAAUUAAAAAUGAGAUGACAGCGUUCCUUCAAAUGAGAUCAUCAUUCCAUGCGCAGGAAUGACAUCAUCUGUUUGUGAGGUGCAAAGAUCAAUAAGUUAUUAAAUGAAUUAUCAACACAUGGAAAUGAUUGCGAUGGUGACUUUCAGUUUAAAACAUAUGGUUUCCUGUUAAUGAAUACAAUAUUUUUAAUUUAUAGCCACACACACAUUUUUGAGUUUUGAUCUGUUGAUUAGACAAAAUGAUACUCAAUCAUUGCUUUGGUCUUGGAAAAACCAUCAAGAAAGACAGUCAUUUGUUACAACCCCAGGUACAACAGACAGGGAAACAACACACAUAAAUAAUACAUGCACUUAUAUCACAAUAAGCCCAUUCUCAAGAACCGCACGUGUGUGUGUGUAGAAGCAGUGUGUGCAACCCUGAGGUCUUGCACGAGUCAUCAAGCUGUCUUCAGCUAAUUUAAUCUUAUUUGUGUCAAACUGGCACAAAAACUGGCCUGCAAACUUUGCAGAUGCGAUUAACAAGCAUUUGGCACCACCAAAUGCUUGUGAAGUACAAUGCCUGUGGUGGUAAGCGCGGUAAGUUGAGCAUUCUUAUCCACCUGUCUCUGUUUUAAGCGCGCACUGACAGAACACACAUCUGCAAACAUGUGUCAUGUGCACACGGUAUUGACUCUCAGCUUAUCCUCUGCACUGCAAUAACCAUGUCUCCAGAGAACGAUGGAAUGACUCAUAAAACCACAGUCUCGCCUUCGGAUACAAUAUCCGACUUGUUUCUGCACCCACAUGCACAUAUAUUCCACUAUUGUCUCACUUAUUCCAGUGGCAAAUAGGUCAUGUCCUUUCUACUUUAAUGGACAAGUCAACAUUUAGUGGAGCGCACCAUUCAAAUAUGGAAAGAUUUAGAGAGAAAGACUGAAAAAGAGAAACGUGCUGAGGUGUAAUGGCAGGCAUGUGCGUUAUCAGGUUUUAUAAUCCUACACCGAGUGGGCCGUCUAAUCCCGGACGCAGCUGAGGGGUCAAGUAGGGGUUGUCCUCUGGUAGCUGUGUUAGAGCUGCCAUCCCCUCAAUGUAUGUGUGUGUGACUGGCUGCUUAGGAAUCAGUUUUAAUGAAGCACUUUUGGUGUGCGAUUUUGUGUGCAAUUGUAUUAUAUUCUCCCUCCCUGAUGCUUUUGAUCCUCAGAUAGAUCUCUGUUUCUCUGGCAACCGAGUUUAAGAUCUCCAAAAUACCAUAGGGGGGACUUAGUGUCAGUCUGCUGUAUGUUUAAGUUGUUUAAAAUUUUAAGUUUAUCCAGAAAAGAAACUGAAAUUGUUUUCAUUUGAAAGCUCAAAAGGAAGCAAAUUGACGUUUUUAAAUACAGCCAAGAGUACGCUGAGCUGAAGAGGCAAAAAGCUCCUAAAACAUUCAAGCUGAUCCCUGAGGGAAUGUAGUUGAUUAACACAUUGGCUGAUGGACGUGAUUAGCAGAUCUCCUGACUGCCAAACUGCAUCAAGAGUAUAUUAUUGAUAUCCAAAAGUUGGAUUUGAUCGAUAAGGAGCACAAACCAGAUAAUGUCAAUUUGUUAAAGCUGUCUGUAAACCAGUAGAAAUACGAUUUGAUCAUGUUAAAUUAAUGCCAAUUAAUUGUGUUAAUUGUGUUAAUUGUGUUGCAAGCACCAAAUUCAUGUCACGCUUCAUUCACGUCUUUAUCAAUUCAAAUUAAUUUAAAGAACAAAUGUGUCAAUUACACUGUGAACUAUACUCAUUACAGUCUAUUGAUUUGUUAACUGCCCCCCAUCUAACUGACUGUUGGAUGGGGGGCAAAAAGGUAUCAGGGGAUUGACCCAAACCUGGAGAGAUAAGGGGAGGAGAAGAAUGAAUGAAUGGAGGUUUUAAGAACAAAAACAACUAAACCUACUGAAUAGGGAACACGUCAGCUGACAUGGCAGAGCAGAAAAUGGAUGAAAGCAGGGAACGUACCAGGAGCCAUUGCCGCUUGAUUCAUACAAUGCCACUGGCUGACGGGUGUCAACGACGUUCUGUGACACCCACAAUUCCCCAGCUAACCAGCUGUGCCUGUGAUGGUGUUGAUGCUGUCGUUCUUGCUAAAGGGCCCGUUUGAGUCAAGCAAGCGGCAAUAACAGAAAGGCAGUUCUCAUUUUCUCUCCGUCAUACCCGCCUAAUCUCUUCCUUAAUAUCUCUCAGCAUCCUCCCGGCCGAGGAAGAGAGCUUCAGUUUGGCACCGACAGUCAUAUCGCCCAGCGGGGAAGUGUCAUUGAAGUGUACCGAGGAGUUCAGAAAGCUCUGGAUGAGUCCUCACUGAGUCACAGUCUCCUGACUUGAGCCGUCAAAUUCCACAUGUUGUUUUGUUUAUUUUCCACUCACUUGUUUUCUGAGCAAACGCGGUUUGCAAAGGUGGUCUGAAUGUUUAAUCUUCAGCCUGGGGCCUUUUAGCUGCACCUUCAUUACGGCUUCCAAUGGAAUUACGAAGAGACAUUUCAGAUUUCUCAAGGACAAAAUGUUGAUGGUUAACCAAUACUGGGUUUUAUAAGUUUGUGUGUUGAAAUGUGUGAUUUGAUGUAAAAAUACCUGUAACUGCACAUCAGGUCAGGUUUCCCUGACAUUUUCAUUGUACUGCUGUACCUGAGAACACGUUAUUACCAGUAAGCAACUAAUGUGGUAGUUUAUUGGCGGCCUCAAAGCUUUAAAACAUUUAUUCGAGAUGUCAUUUCUGUAAACUCGUGCGUGGGGUCAACAGGAGACCCGACAUGGUGGGAGAUAAGGACAUUAGCAUACUGCAUACAAACACACUAAACACUCAGAUAUUAGCUUGGUCUUCACAGGCCCCAUGUAGUCCUAUGAACUGGAAAAAGGGGUGUAUAUAUAUUCAUUCAAAUCUCUGAAUCCAGGGUCCUUGUGGCAUUAAAGGAUUUAUUUUAUGUAGGGUAAAUUGCAGUCAGUCUAAGGACGUUUAUCUCAAAAGCUUUCAAUAUUUGACUGUGAAUAGUAGUAUAAUUUAUUUCAGCCCUUCCACUUGUCCCCUGGAAUACCAAUAAGCCGGGAGCAGAAUUAAUUUACCGUGUGUGUAAAGCCAGGCUGUACAUUUCCCUCAGCUGUGUCUUUAUGCUUUGUACUUAAAAGACAGAGAAGAUGUGUUUGUCUCACAAACGUAAUAA
Molecule: long non-coding RNA, 5078 nt
Organism: Gasterosteus aculeatus aculeatus (three-spined stickleback)
Lineage: Eukaryota; Metazoa; Chordata; Actinopteri; Perciformes; Gasterosteidae
Source: Ensembl